AGAGUUUGAUCAUGGCUCAGAACGAACGUUAGCGGCGCGCCUAACACAUGCAAGUCGUGCGAGAAAGGGCUUCGGCCCCAGUAAAGCGGCGCACGGGUGAGUAACACGUAGGUCAUCUCCCCUCGAGUGGUGGAUAACUCUCCGAAAGGAGAGCUAAUACAGCAUGAGACCACAGCCUCGCUGAGGCAGCGGUCAAAGCAGGCCACUACAUGUAAGCUUGCGCUUGAGGAUGAGCCUGCGGCCCAUCAGCUAGUUGGUAGGGUAAUGGCCUACCAAGGCUAAGACGGGUAGCUGGUCUGAGAGGAUGAACAGCCACACUGGAACUGAGACACGGUCCAGACUCCUACGGGAGGCAGCAGUGGGGAAUCUUGCGCAAUGGGCGAAAGCCUGACGCAGCGACGCCGCGUGAGCGAUGAAGGCCUUCGGGUUGUAAAGCUCUGUGGGGAGGGAAGAAUAAGGUUUGGCUAAUAUCCAAGCUGAUGACGGUACCUCCUUAGCAAGCACCGGCUAACUCUGUGCCAGCAGCCGCGGUAAGACAGAGGGUGCAAACGUUGUUCGGAAUUACUGGGCGUAAAGCGCGUGUAGGCGGCUAUGUAAGUCGGGCGUGAAAUCCCACGGCUCAACCGUGGAAGUGCACUCGAAACUGCGUAGCUAGAGUCCUGGAGAGGAAGGUGGAAUGCUUGGUGUAGAGGUGAAAUUCGUAGAUAUUAAGCGGAACACCGGUGGCGAAGGCGGCCUUCUGGACAGUGACUGGCGCUGAGACGCGAAAGCGUGGGGAGCAAACAGGAUUAGAUACCCUAGUAGUCC
Molecule: ribosomal RNA, 807 nt
Filed under: uncultured bacterium
Lineage: Bacteria
Description: bacterial SSU rRNA
Rfam family: Bacterial small subunit ribosomal RNA
Source: RNAcentral